AUUGAACGCUGGCGGCAUGCUUUACACAUGCAAGUCGAGCGGCAGCGCGGGGGCAACCCUGGCGGCGAGCGGCGAACGGGUGAGGAAUACAUCGGAACGUGCCCGAGAGUGGGGGAUAACGCCGCGAAAGCGGCGCCAAAUACCGCAUAUUCUCUGAGGAGGAAAGUGGGGACCGCAAGGCCUCACGCCCACGGAGCGGCCGAUGUCGGAUUAGCUAGUUGGUGGGGUAAAGGCUUACCAAGGCGACGAUCCGUAGCUGGUCUGAGAGGAUGAUCAGCCACACUGGGACUGAGACAACGGCCCCAGACUCCUACGGGAGGCAGCAGUGGGGAA
RNAcentral lists this ribosomal RNA (333 nucleotides) under uncultured bacterium. RNAcentral describes it as "bacterial SSU rRNA". It matches the Rfam family "Bacterial small subunit ribosomal RNA", at positions 29 to 361 of the family's 1533-position model. The record is from RNAcentral.